CGAUGUUGCCGCCUUGCUGGAGCACCUCGCAGACGCAGGCCACUUGCUCUUGGGUGAAGCCAAAAGUCGGGAGCAUCGACAUGUGGUUGAAUCUGAACGGGAGCAGCUGUUCGCCCUAGCCGGAAAGGAGAUGUCAAAACCUGUUGCGUGGAUUUAGAUCUGAGAGUCUUCUUAGCACCCUAAAAUGAGUCGCGAAUCGCCUGCUCACGUUUGCUCCCGGUCCGACGGGAUCGUUUCACUUAGCUGCUGCCGGCUGUCUCCAGUUUAGCUGCUGUGGAAGGUUUUAUUUGAGGCGACCCAAAAGGCGGGUAUCAUCCCGGCCCCGGCCCCGACUGCCACUUUGCCCAGGGCC
Molecule: long non-coding RNA, 352 nt
Organism: Neopelma chrysocephalum (saffron-crested tyrant-manakin)
Lineage: Eukaryota; Metazoa; Chordata; Aves; Passeriformes; Pipridae
Exons: 3
Source: RefSeq, a predicted model, not a curated record